CCAGUAGUCAUAUGCUUGUCUCAAAGAUUAAGCCAUGCAUGUCUCAGUACAAGCCAAAUUAAGGUGAAACCGCGAAAGGCUCAUUAAAUCAGUUAUGGUUCCUUAGAUCGUACCCACAUUUACUUGGAUAACUGUGGUAAUUCUAGAGCUAAUACAUGCAAACAGAGCUCCGACCGGAGACGGAAGGAGCGCUUUUAUUAGAUCAAAACCAAUCGGUGGCGGGUCUCCCGUCACCGUACACCUUGGUGACUCUGAAUAACUUAUUGCUGAUCGCACGGUCUCGCACCGGCGACGCAUCUUUCAAAUGUCUGCCUUAUCAACUGUCGAUGGUAGGUUCUGCGCCUACCAUGGUUGUAACGGGUAACGGGGAAUCAGGGUUCGAUUCCGGAGAGGGAGCCUGAGAAACGGCUACCACAUCCAAGGAAGGCAGCAGGCGCGCAAAUUACCCACUCCCGGCACGGGGAGGUAGUGACGAAAAAUAACGAUACGGGACUCAUCCGAGGCCCCGUAAUCGGAAUGAGUACACUCUAAACCCUUUAACGAGGAUCAAUUGGAGGGCAAGUCUGGUGCCAGCAGCCGCGGUAAUUCCAGCUCCAAUAGCGUAUAUUAAAGUUGUUGCGGUUAAAAAGCUCGUAGUCGAAUUUGUGUCCCGCGCCGCCGGUUCAUCGCUCGCGGUGUCAACUGGCGUGUCCGCGGGACGUCCUGCCGGUGGGCUUAGCCCCCCGUGGGCGGCCCAAUCUCAAUCCCACCGCGGUGCUCUUCACUGAGUGUCGAGGUGGGCCGGCACGUUUACUUUGAACAAAUUAGAGUGCUUAAAGCAGGCUAAAACAUCGCCUGAAUACUGUGUGCAUGGAAUAAUGGAAUAGGACCUCGGUUCUAUUUUGUUGGUUUUCGGAACCCCGAGGUAAUGAUUAAUAGGAACGGAUGGGGGCAUUCGUAUUGCGAC
This 946-nucleotide ribosomal RNA is filed under the name Lepanus sp. NSW4. Its description in RNAcentral is "SSU rRNA". It matches the Rfam family "Eukaryotic small subunit ribosomal RNA", at positions 17 to 903 of the family's 1831-position model. The record is from RNAcentral. Lineage: Eukaryota; Metazoa; Arthropoda; Insecta; Coleoptera; Scarabaeidae.